UUUCCGUUGGUGAACCAGCGGAAGGAUCAUUAAUGAGAUCAUGCCCUUCGGGGUAGACCUCCCACCCUCUGUAUACAAUACCUUUGUUGCUUUGGCGGCCCCGUCGCAAGACAACCGGCUCCGGCUGGUCAGCGGCCGCCAGAGGACCCCAACUCUGUGUUUAGUGUCGUCUGAGUACUAUUUUAAUACGUUAAAACUUUCAACAACGGAUCUCUUGGUUCUGGCAUCGAUGAAGAACGCAGC
This 243-nucleotide unclassified non-coding RNA is filed under the name uncultured fungus. Its description in RNAcentral is "sequence contains ITS1, 5.8S rRNA gene". The stretch from base 195 to 243 matches the Rfam family "5.8S ribosomal RNA", at positions 1 to 49 of the family's 154-position model. Lineage: Eukaryota; Fungi. The record is from RNAcentral.